CGCUGGCGGCACGCUUAACACAUGCAAGUCGAACGAGAGAAGAGGAGCUUGCUUUUCUGAUCUAGUGGCGGACGGGUGAGUAACACGUGAGCAAUCUGCCUUUCAGAGGGGGAUACCGAUUGGAAACGAUCGUUAAUACCGCAUAACAUAAUUGAACCGCAUGAUUUGAUUAUCAAAGAUUUAUCGCUGAAAGAUGAGCUCGCGUCUGAUUAGCUAGUUGGUAAGGUAACGGCUUACCAAGGCGACGAUCAGUAGCCGGACUGAGAGGUUGAUCGGCCACAUUGGGACUGAGACACGGCCCAGACUCCUACGGGAGGCAGCAGUGGGGAAUAUUGCACAAUGGAGGAAACUCUGAUGCAGCGAUGCCGCGUGAGGGAAGAAGGUUUUAGGAUUGUAAACCUCUGUCUUCAGGGACGAAAAAAGACGGUACCUGAGGAGGAAGCUCCGGCUAACUACGUGCCAGCAGCCGCGGUAAUACGUAGGGAGCGAGCGUUGUCCGGAAUUACUGGGUGUAAAGCGAGCGUAGGCGGAUCGCAAGUCAGAUGUGAAAACUAUGGGCUUAACCCAUAAACUGCAUUUGAAACUGUGGUUCUUGAGUGAAGUAGAGGUAAGCGGAAUUCCUAGUGUAGCGGUGAAAUGCGUAGAUAUUAGGAGGAACAUCAGUGGCGAAGGCGGCUUACUGGGCUUUAACUGACGCUGAGGCUCGAAAGCGUGGGGAGCAAACAGGAUUAGAUACCCUGGUAGUCCACGCCGUAAACGAUGAUUACUAGGUGUGGGGGGACUGACCCCUUCCGUGCCGCAGCAAACGCAAUAAGUAAUCCACCUGGGGAGUACGACCGCAAGGUUGAAACUCAAAGGAAUUGACGGGGGCCCGCACAAGCAGUGGAGUAUGUGGAUUAAUUCGAAGCAACGCGAAGAACCUUACCAGGUCUUGACAUCGUAUGCAUAGCUCAGAGAUGAGUGAAAUCUCUUCGGAGACAUAUAGACAGGUGGUGCAUGGUUGUCGUCAGCUCGUGUCGUGAGAUGUUGGGUUAAGUCCCGCAACGAGCGCAACCCUUACUGUUAGUUGCUACGCAAGAGCACUCUAGCAGGACUGCCGUUGACAAAACGGAGGAAGGUGGGGAUGACGUCAAAUCAUCAUGCCCCUUAUGACCUGGGCCUCACACGUACUACAAUGGCUGUCAACAGAGGGAAGCAAAGCCGCGAGGUGGAGCGAACCCCUAAAAGCAGUCUUAGUUCGGAUUGUAGGCCGCAACCCGCCUACAUGAAGUCGGAAUUGCUAGUAAUCGCAGAUCAGCAUGCUGCGGUGAAUACGUUCCCGGGCCUUGUACACACCGCCCGUCACGCCAUGGGAGUCGGUAACACCCGAAGCCUGUAGUCUAACCGCAAGGAGGACGCAGUCGAAGGUGGGAUUGAUGACUGGGGUGAAGUCGUAACAAGGUA
RNAcentral lists this ribosomal RNA (1443 nucleotides) under metagenome. RNAcentral describes it as "bacterial SSU rRNA". It matches the Rfam family "Bacterial small subunit ribosomal RNA". The record is from RNAcentral.